RNAcentral lists this long non-coding RNA (258 nucleotides) under Equus caballus (horse). RNAcentral's name for it is "lncRNA (ENSECAG00000048146.1)". The record is from RNAcentral. Lineage: Eukaryota; Metazoa; Chordata; Mammalia; Perissodactyla; Equidae.
AAAGACACAUUUCCUGAAGACCAAGGCUCACGUGCUCCCAGAAUACCAUCCAAGGCAGGCUCGGCACUGGUGCAACGCAGGCGAUGAAGAAUUCAGAGAGGCGGGCUCAGCCAGCCCCCCUCCAACCUUCCCCCUCUCCGUGCUUCUCCUUGGUUAUAAGGGACUGGCUGGCCACGCUUCUCUAGGUUCCCUCUCCCAGGAUUCAGAUAAGAUUUAGGCCUCGGGAGACUGGGUGAUGACCAUCCAUCCACACAGUUG